UAAAGAGGGCUCAUGACGGUACCGUAAGAAUAAGCACCGGCUAACUACGUGCCAGCAGCCGCGGUAAUACGUAGGGUGCAAGCGUUAAUCGGAAUUACUGGGCGUAAAGCGUGCGCAGGCGGUUUUGUAAGACAGGCGUGAAAUCCCCGGGCUCAACCUGGGAAUUGCGCUUGUGACUGCAAGGCUAGAGUACGGUAGAGGGGGGUAGAAUUCCGCGUGUAGCAGUGAAAUGCGUAGAUAUGCGGAGGAACACCGAUGGCGAAGGCAGCCCCCUGGACCUGUACUGACGCUCAUGCACGAAAGCGUGGGGAGCAAACAGGAUUAGAUACCCUGGUAGUCCACGCCCUAAACGAUGUCAACUGGUUGUUGGGAAUUUACUUUCUCAGUAACGAAGCUAACGCGUGAAGUUGACCGCCUGG
RNAcentral lists this ribosomal RNA (419 nucleotides) under uncultured bacterium. RNAcentral's name for it is "bacterial SSU rRNA". It matches the Rfam family "Bacterial small subunit ribosomal RNA", at positions 457 to 876 of the family's 1533-position model. The record is from RNAcentral.